RNAcentral lists this ribosomal RNA (468 nucleotides) under uncultured bacterium. Its description in RNAcentral is "partial 16S ribosomal RNA". It matches the Rfam family "Bacterial small subunit ribosomal RNA", at positions 28 to 507 of the family's 1533-position model. The record is from RNAcentral.
GACGAACGCUGGCGGCGUGCUUAACACAUGCAAGUCGAACGGAAAGGCCCUGCUUUUGUUGGGUGCUCGAGUGGCGAACGGGUGAGUAACACGUGGGUAACCUGCCCUUGACUUUGGGAUAACUUCAGGAAACUGGGGCUAAUACCGGAUAGGAGCUCCUGCUGCAUGGUGGGGGUUGGAAAGUUUCGGCGGUUGGGGAUGGACUCGCGGCUUAUCAGCUUGUUGGUGGGGUAGUGGCUUACCAAGGCUUUGACGGGUAGCCGGCCUGAGAGGGUGACCGGCCACAUUGGGACUGAGAUACGGCCCAGACUCCUACGGGAGGCAGCAGUGGGGAAUAUUGCACAAUGGGCGGAAGCCUGAUGCAGCAACGCCGCGUGCGGGAUGACGGCCUUCGGGUUGUAAACCGCUUUCGCCUGUGACGAAGCGUGAGUGACGGUAAUGGGUAAAGAAGCACCGGCUAACUACGUG